RNAcentral lists this ribosomal RNA (445 nucleotides) under uncultured bacterium. RNAcentral's name for it is "bacterial SSU rRNA". It matches the Rfam family "Bacterial small subunit ribosomal RNA", at positions 217 to 662 of the family's 1533-position model. The record is from RNAcentral.
GGUAUGGGAUGAGCUUGCGUCCGAUUAGCUAGUUGGCGGGGCAACGGCCCACCAAGGCGACGAUCGGUAGCCGGCCUGAGAGGGUGAUCGGCCACAUUGGGACUGAGAUACGGCCCAGACUCCUACGGGAGGCAGCAGUAGGGAAUAUUGCACAAUGGGGGAAACCCUGAUGCAGCAACGCCACGUGUGGGAAGAAGCAUUUCGGUGUGUAAACCACUGUCGUGAGGGAAUAAGGCAUUGUUUCGGCGAUGUUGAAUGUACCUCGAAAGGAAGCACCGGCAAACUUCGUGCCAGCAGCCGCGGUAAUACGAGGGGUGCAAGCGUUGUUCGGAAUCACUGGGCGUAAAGGGAGCGUAGGCGGAGAUGCAAGCGGACUGUACAAUACCGGGGCCCAACCCCGGACCUGCAGUUCGGACUGCACCUCUUGGAUAGUUCAGGGGCAGGC